Molecule: RNA transcript, 3274 nt
Organism: Balaenoptera acutorostrata (minke whale)
Lineage: Eukaryota; Metazoa; Chordata; Mammalia; Artiodactyla; Balaenopteridae
Gene: SLC35D2
Gene name: solute carrier family 35 member D2
Exons: 14
Source: RefSeq, a predicted model, not a curated record
CAGCGCGGGCCGGAGUGCGGCCGAGACUGGCAGCCGUGGGACAUGACGGCAGGCCGCCAGGCCGAGGGCUCGGGUACGGACCCCGCCUCCGCGCGGCUGCCCUCCCGGGUGGCCAAGCUACUGUCGGCACUCUUCUACGGGACCUGCUCCUUCCUCCUCGUGCUGGUCAACAAGGCGCUGCUGACCACCUACCGUUUCCCAUCACCAAUUGUUCUUGGAAUUGGACAGAUGGCAGUUACCAUAAUGAUACUAUAUGUGUCCAAGCUAAAUAAAGUAAUUCACUUCCCUGAUUUUGACAAGAAAAUUCCUAUUAAGCUGUUUCCUCUGCCUCUCCUCUACGUUGGAAACCACAUAAGUGGAUUAUCAAGCACAAGUAAAUUAAGCUUGCCGAUGUUCACCGUGCUCAGGAAAUUUACCAUUCCACUUACUUUACUCCUGGAAACCAUCAUACUCGGGAAACAGUAUUCCUUGAACAUCAUUGUCAGUGUCUUUGCCAUCAUUCUUGGUGCUUUCAUAGCAGCUGGUUCUGACCUUGCUUUUAACUUGGAAGGCUAUAUUUUUGUAUUCCUGAAUGAUAUCUUCACAGCAGCGAAUGGUGUUUAUACCAAACAGAAAAUGGACCCAAAGGAGUUAGGGAAAUAUGGAGUGCUUUUCUACAAUGCCUGCUUCAUGAUUAUCCCAACUCUUAUCAUUAGUGUCUCUACUGGAGACCUUCGACAGGCUACUGAAUUCAACCAAUGGAAGAAUGUUCUAUUUAUCACACAGUUUCUUCUUUCCUGUUUUUUGGGGUUUCUGUUGAUGUACUCCACACUUUUGUGCAGCUAUUACAAUUCGGCCCUGACGACGGCGGUGGUUGGAGCCAUCAAGAAUGUAUCCAUUGCCUACAUUGGAGUGUUAGUAGGUGGAGACUACAUUUUCUCUGUAUUAAACUUUGUAGGGUUAAAUAUUUGCAUGGCAGGGGGCUUGAGAUACUCCUUUUUAACUUUAAACAGCCAGUUAAAACCUAAACAACCUGUGGACGAAGAAAACAUCCCUCAAGAUUUGAAGGGCUAGAACCUGGGGCAAAAUUGCAGACUGGCUUGCAGACUGGCUUGCAGACUGGGGGGAAUGAGGGAAUAUUCCCAGCUGUUUUGGUUGUGGCACUCGCCCCUGGUUAAGGCACAACAGGAAUGUCUGCAAAAUGCAAAGAGAAUCUACAUCAUGUGCUGCAUGAGGAGCCAUCAUCAGCCCUGAGAAAUGUAUCCGGGCAAAGCCUUACCAGCUGAAAGUGAAUCUUCUCAAAAUAAACCACUGGUGAAAGGGAUUGUUUCCAAGGCACUUGCGUGGACCACACAACUGUGUGCUGUUCCAGGUUUGUUCAGGGGCUUUGAAAUUCAGAUCAUAUGGACUUUAACCAAGUGUGGAAAGACUUCUGCUUCCAUGUGUGGCCAGCAGAGGGCACCCUAAGAACAGUCCAGCAGUCCUUGCAGCUGGGUUGAAACUUGCGAUUUCUGCUCUUCCUCUACAGAACCAGAUUCCCGUGGUGGGAGGUUUAUGGUAGUGCCAAUCUGGCUUUUGAGUUAAGGUUAGCUGAGAAUGCUGGAUGCAGAGAGGUGGUGCGAAAGGGAUCCAUGAGUUCCAAGGAGGCUAAAGAAGAAAUGUAGCCCCGUGCCCCAGGUCUCUGGAUUUCUUUAAAAAAAAAAUAAAAAAAUAAAAACCAUUCUGGAUGGAACAAGGAAAAUUAGUUUAAUAUUCUUGAUAUUUUGCUUAUGUCUGGCUAUUUUACUGCUAAAAACAGUUACAUUUGUUAACUUGGACUUUUUCUUGCUGUUUUAAUAUUUUUCUAUAUAUUAGAUAUAUAAGUACAAGUACAGGGGCACUGGAGUUUUGUGACAGCUGAGUUUGCCUAAAGAAUGAAACCUAGUUUAGAGAAGAGUUAUAUAUUUUAUAUAUUAUUAUUAUUGUAUAUUUAUAUAUUACAUAUUAUUUUAAUUUAUAUAUAUUUUCUGUGCUCUCAGGAAAAUGGCAAAGGUACAUAUGUCAAUACUUUCAGAGACUUUAGUGACGUUUUUCCUUUUGCAUCAUCAUGUCAACUUUUCAGUCUUGGUGAGUCAUUUUUAUGACUUGUGAGUAAUUUCUGUUUUCUUUGAAUGGAUAUGUGUACCUGUGCAUACAUUUUGAGUGCUGGGACUUGCCAAGGGUCAGCGAUUUAGCUGACCAGUAGCUGCUACUCCGUGGUAGCUUUGGGAAACUGAGGGCACCCAGCGCUCAGAAUGUCCAAGUUCUCUUUCUGUCAUUAGAUACUGAAGCACAUGGUAAAACAAAGCAUGCCUCUUUAGGAUGAAACCAGAAACCCCAAGCCAUUCCUGGGGACUCUCACAGUCAGGGAAUACCAUCUGUGUACCUCUGACUCUCACCUCCACUCCAGGUUGAGGUCCCCCAUGAUAAGCCUCAGAACCUUUUCUCUGCAAUGUGACCUGGACCAGAACAUCGCAUUACCUGGGGCUUGUUACAAAUGCAGAAUAUCAGGGUGCACACACUGAAUAGGAAUCUGCAUUUUAACCCAGGUGAUUUGAGAAGCACUACCCCAGACUUUUGGCCCAGACCAUAUUUUUAGUACCAAGGGUUCAUAACCUGGGGUUCACAGAAUUUAGUGGGCUGGUGAACUUGGAUGGGGAAAGAAUACAUCUUGAUUUUUCCCCAACCAAAAUUUAGCAUUUCUUUUCAUUUGAAUGUAGGCAAGACCACAGUAAUAUUGGCUGUGCUUGUGACUUUGUUAUCAAUAGAAAUUGAAAUACUUUCAUAUCACUUUAUAGUUUUUGUAGAAAGUCAUUUAUGUGCUGCUCAGUAUUCUGGUAGUUAUUAGUGCCUCCACUAGUUCUUGUUAUUUAAUAUGUUCAUAAAGAAGAAUAUUUUUAGUACAUCAUAUUUAGAAAAUAUUGCAGUAACUUUUUAUGGUAACUGGUUUUCUUUAUAAUUUUAUGUAUUUUAUUUCAUGUAUUUAAAAACAUUAUUUGGAGAAGGAGGCUGUAGCCAUCCCUAGACUGCUGUUGUAGUUUAUGGCACUGAAAAUAGUAAGGACCCCUGCCUUAGAGAGAAAGAAAAAAUUCCAGAUUAAUAUGUUUCCUCAAGAAGUUGUUCCAUUUUUGGCCUUAGUACCAGCGGAGGCUUGCUCCUAGAUGGGUAUAGAUAAGCCCGGGGAAAUUUUUACAUCUGCUACCUGGUGGGAAGGCAUCAUCCUCCACCCGGUGUGGUCAACUGUCUGCAGCUAGAGGGAGAAAGAGGGAGAGGGAAA